This is a small nuclear RNA of Panthera pardus (leopard), 106 nucleotides long. The record is from Ensembl. NCBI's taxonomy places the organism in Eukaryota, Metazoa, Chordata, Mammalia, Carnivora, Felidae.
GUGCUCACUUUGGCAGCACUUUAGUAAAGCUGGAACAACACAGAGAGGAUUAGCAUGGCCUCUAUGCAAGGAUGACACACAAAUUCAUGAAGCUUCCAUAUUUUUA